UACGUAGGGUGCGAGCGUUGUCCGGAAUUAUUGGGCGUAAAGAGCUCGUAGGCGGUCUGUCGCGUCGGAUGUGAAAACUCGGGGCUCAACCCCGAGCCUGCAUUCGAUACGGGCAGACUAGAGUUCGGUAGGGGAGACUGGAAUUCCUGGUGUAGCGGUGAAAUGCGCAGAUAUCAGGAGGAACACCGGUGGCGAAGGCGGUUCUCUGGGCCUGUACUGACGCUGAGGAACGAAAGCGUGGGGAGCGAACAGG
RNAcentral lists this ribosomal RNA (253 nucleotides) under uncultured bacterium. RNAcentral's name for it is "partial 16S ribosomal RNA". It matches the Rfam family "Bacterial small subunit ribosomal RNA", at positions 524 to 776 of the family's 1533-position model. The record is from RNAcentral.